AAGUCGUAACAAGGUUUCCGUAGGUGAACCUGCGGAAGGAUCAUUAACACGUAUCCAAACGUUAAAACCCCCCCCGUGAACCUUCAUCCUGCUCUUGUAACCCGCGUAGUUCGCAAUCUCUGAUAAAUCAUAGCCCGGAAAGGUGCGAACAUUGGAACAGUUACAAUCGAGCGGUAGUUCUAUAGGCAAUGUUUCCCCAAGCAGUCGGCAGGAGCUUUGCCAAAGGGUCCCCAUGCCCCCUAAUAACCCCACAGUUUAAUGUGAAGCUCAAUGUAAUACAUUGGGUAAAAAAACCGAACAACUGUUAACAAUGGAUAUCUUGGUUCUC
This 328-nucleotide unclassified non-coding RNA is filed under the name fungal sp. Its description in RNAcentral is "partial internal transcribed spacer region". The stretch from base 1 to 46 matches the Rfam family "Eukaryotic small subunit ribosomal RNA", at positions 1786 to 1831 of the family's 1831-position model. The record is from RNAcentral. Lineage: Eukaryota; Fungi.